RNAcentral lists this long non-coding RNA (1475 nucleotides) under Fragaria vesca (wild strawberry). Its description in RNAcentral is "long non-coding RNA (FVES_LNC002356)". Lineage: Eukaryota; Viridiplantae; Streptophyta; Magnoliopsida; Rosales; Rosaceae. The record is from RNAcentral.
GCCACAAUUCAGAGCAACUCUAUUUGAAAGGAAAUAAACUAGAAAUAUAAAAAUGAGCGGAAGCUACACUAUUGACUAUGCCUCUUCUCUAAAUACGUCCGACCACAACUAUGCAAUCCUGCAAACUGGGCAUUUUGAAAACGAAGAGCCCAGGGGAAAACAUAUGAAAACGAAACGUUAGAGUGAGUGGACAAAAAUAAAUUUACGAAUAAAAUAUUUGUUUCCCCGAAACAAUUUCCAAAGAAAAAUCGAAUGCAUGCUGCAAGCGAUAAACUUUCAUCUCAUAAUAUCGAGCCUCUCAGGCUCUAACAUAUAUGUAUGUAUUUACACACGUCCAUACUCCCUAUAUAAAUUCAUGAGUCUAUAUAGGGCUACUACGCUCGCGUCCAACGCUCACGUCACGCCUUAAUGCGGUGCUACACUACGCCAUUAAGGUGGACAGACACAUAUGGCUAGCUAGCAUUUAUAUACAUACUCUCCUCAAUAUACAUAUUUAUACUCACCGAAAAAUCCCAUUUUUCGGUAACUCUCCAAGAGAAAUAAAAGCGUCAAAAUUAAAUGACGUCUAAACUCCAACAAUUUAAAUACUCGACCAUGAACCAUAGCAUGCAUAUUAUUUAAAACAAAAGUCCACUCACAGUAUUAGGCCUAAGCCUUCCAAUGCUCGGCAUACUCCUCGAGCGCUGCCUCCACUAUUCACAAUCUCGAGUCAAUCCCACGUCUGAUGAUAAACAGCAGAAUAAAUCGGUCAAACCAGAUUCCGAAAUAAUCAUUGAUUCGUCUUCUUCUUAAAUUGACUAAGUAUCCUAGGUUGACCAGGAUUGACCGACAUAUAUUAAUAAUCAAUUCCGACUAAACUUCGCAACUAUAACUUAUUCGGAAUGAACCUUAACCUAGAAUCAAAGUCACCAUCAAUUUCCAUGCCUUAACACAUUAACCAAAAUACUUCCAAAAUUAUUUUAUGAUCCCCUACGAUCAACAUGCUCACAAACAAUACCAACAAUUUCCUUCAUUUCCUCUCUACACAACUUUACCCUAAAAUUUACUAAGGGCACCCAAACAGGUUUCCAUAAAUAGAAAGUUUCCAAAAAGGGAAAGUCUCCCUAAAUAGAAACUUCCCUAAAAUGGCAGAUUUUACUAAACCAGGAAUUACGACUUGAAUUAGAAAGAAUAACCUCAAGAACUACCUUCUCGGCUCUCUGCCGGAUCUGCUGUUUCGUCGGAACCCUCAUUGGAUUCCGGUGACCUGCCGGAAUAGUUCGCCGGAUUCCGGCGACUUACUGGAAUUUGGCCAUAGCCUCCCCAUAAAUUCUAAAUCACCAAGUUAUCGACGACAACAACCAAAACAUUCAUAUUAGCAACCAUACUCCAAACGAUCCAACAUAGAACAACACAACAACAACAUAGCAGCAACCUAGCUGCGCAGAUUUUAUUCCUUACCUUCAGUCCGCUCAAAACCCAAACCCAGAAAUUCC